This 1435-nucleotide ribosomal RNA is filed under the name uncultured marine bacterium. RNAcentral's name for it is "bacterial SSU rRNA". It matches the Rfam family "Bacterial small subunit ribosomal RNA". The record is from RNAcentral.
GAGUUUGAUCAUGGCUCAGAACGUACGCUGGCGGCACGCCUAACACAUGCAAGUCGAACGAAGUAGCAAUACUUAGUGGCAGACGGGUGAGUAACAUGCGGGUAUCUACCCUUUGGCCUGGAAUAACACGAGGAAACUUGUGCUAAUACCGGAUAAGUCUUUACGGAGAAAGCUUUAUGCACCAUUGGAUGAGCCCGCACUUGAUUAGUUUGUUGGUAGGGUAAUGGCCUACCAAGACUAUGAUCAAUAGCUGAUUUGAGAGGAUGAUCAGCCACAUUGGGACUGAGACACGGCCCAAACUCCUACGGGAGGCAGCAGUGGGGAAUCUUGCACAAUGGAGGAAACUCUGAUGCAGCGAUGCCGCGUGAGUGAAGAAGGCCCUUGGGUUGUAAAGCUCUUUCGUCGGGGAAGAAAAUGACUGUACCCGAAUAAGAAGGUCCGGCUAACUUCGUGCCAGCAGCCGCGGUAAUACGAAGGGACCUAGCGUAGUUCGGAAUUACUGGGCUUAAAGAGUUCGUAGGUGGUUGAAAAAGUUAGUGGUGAAAUCCCAGAGCUUAACUCUGGAACUGCCAUUAAAACUUUUCAGCUAGAGUAUGAUAGAGGAAAGCAGAAUUUCUAGUGUAGAGGUGAAAUUCGUAGAUAUUAGAAAGAAUACCAAUUGCGAAGGCAGCUUUCUGGAUCAUUACUGACACUGAGGAACGAAAGCAUGGGUAGCGAAGAGGAUUAGAUACCCUCGUAGUCCAUGCCGUAAACGAUGUGUGUUAGACGUUGGAAAUUUAUUUUCAGUGUCGCAGGGAAACCGAUAAACACACCGCCUGGGGAGUACGACCGCAAGGUUAAAACUCAAAUGAAUUGACGGGGACCCGCACAAGUAGUGGAGCAUGUGGUUUAAUUCGAAGAUACGCGCAGAACCUUACCAACACUUGACAUGUUCGUCGCGACUCUAAGAGAUUAGAGUUUUCGGUUCGGCCGGACGAAACACAGGUGCUGCAUGGCUGUCGUCAGCUCGUGUCGUGAGAUGUUGGGUUAAGUCCCGCAACGAGCGCAACCCUCACUUUUAGUUGCCAUCAUUAAGUUGGGCACUCUGAAAGAACUGCCAGUGAUAAGCUGGAGGAAGGUGGGGAUGACGUCAAGUCCUCAUGGCCCUUACGUGUUGGGCUACACACGUGCUACAAUGGCAUCUACAACAGGAAGCAAAACGGCAACGUUAAGCAAAUCCCGAAAAGAUGCCUCAGUUCGGAUUGCACUCUGCAACUCGAGUGCAUGAAGCUGGAAUUACUAGUAAUCGUGGAUCAGCGUGCCACGGUGAAUGCGUUCCCGGGUCUUGUACACACCGCCCGUCACACCAUGGGAGUUGGUUCUACCUUAAGGCAAGGUUUUAAACCCUUGACCACGGUAUAGUCAGCGACUGGGGUGAAGUCGUAACAAGGUAACC